UACGGCCACAUCACGUUCAAACGUUCCCGUAGGAUCACCGAAGUUAAGCAUCGUCGAACCUGGUCAGUACCUGGGUGGGUGGCUGCUUGGGAAUAUCAAGUGCUGUAAG
This is a non-coding RNA of Acanthosepion pharaonis, 109 nucleotides long. Lineage: Eukaryota; Metazoa; Mollusca; Cephalopoda; Sepiida; Sepiidae. The record is from the annotation of a GenBank genome assembly.